GGAUAGCUCAAUCAGUAGAGCAAGAGACUCUUAAUCUCAGGGUUGUGUGUUUGAGCCCCACGUUGGGUGAAAUA
This 74-nucleotide transfer RNA is filed under the name Podarcis lilfordi (Lilford's wall lizard). Its description in RNAcentral is "tRNA.Lys". The stretch from base 4 to 61 matches the Rfam family "tRNA", at positions 8 to 63 of the family's 71-position model. From Rfam's summary of the family: Transfer RNA (tRNA) molecules are approximately 80 nucleotides in length. Their secondary structure includes four short double-helical elements and three loops (D, anti-codon, and T loops). Lineage: Eukaryota; Metazoa; Chordata; Lepidosauria; Squamata; Lacertidae. The record is from RNAcentral.